This 69-nucleotide transfer RNA is filed under the name Ailuropoda melanoleuca (giant panda). It matches the Rfam family "tRNA". From Rfam's summary of the family: Transfer RNA (tRNA) molecules are approximately 80 nucleotides in length. Their secondary structure includes four short double-helical elements and three loops (D, anti-codon, and T loops). The record is from Rfam by way of RNAcentral. Lineage: Eukaryota; Metazoa; Chordata; Mammalia; Carnivora; Ursidae.
GCCUGGCUCAGUUGGUAGAACAUGUGACUCUCGAUCAUGGGGUUGUGAGUUCAAGCCCCAUGUCAGGCA